This 723-nucleotide non-coding RNA is filed under the name Pseudotaxus chienii. Lineage: Eukaryota; Viridiplantae; Streptophyta; Pinopsida; Cupressales; Taxaceae. The record is from RNAcentral.
GUCGUUUCAAACACUGAACUGUGUAGGGGAGGAGGCAUGUCUCGGCACGUCCGACCUGUCUCUUCCCCGCCCCCGCUCUUGCCGGAGUUUGGACUGGAGUUCCGGUUGCCUUUUUUGCAGUGCCUCGGGGGUCCCCCCUCUAUGGCUUUCUGUCGGGCGGGCAUUCCGGUCUCUGCAAGUCACUCUCUUGCGGUUCGGGCUUAUACUGAAUGGGCGAGCUCGAGUGCUGUCUUCGUUGUGGCAACGAAAGGGCAUCCGUCUUCGGCUGCGAUGGGUGUGGAAGGCCCUGCUCCAUCGUAGUUGAGACGGCCCCUGUACUUUCCACUCUGACAGGCGGUUCCUUGAAAGCGCCCGCGGCAGCUCCGCGGACCGUUGCCUUUUUGGCCGGUGCGUGGGGCAGCUGCAACCCCCCGACACGUCGUCAGGCUGGGAUGUGCCGUGCAGAUAUUUCGUCCAUCGGGCGGCUGCACCCGCGUGCGUCGCGGGGCAGGGCCGGCGUCCGUGGGCGUUCUCAUCUGUCCGGCCUCCGGCCUUGUGACGUUGCGGGGCGGGGACACCCCUUCUCCGAUUUAUCCCGUGAGGCGUCGCUCUGGUCCCUGGGUGCAUCGCGGGAAGGAGCGUGUCAUUACACCCAACGCAUCGGUGCGGUCAGCACCAAGGAUUGAUAAGAGAUGGCCGUGCGAUCCGCACGCCGUGCGCGUGUUGGAUCUGCGGCACCACAAG